RNAcentral lists this ribosomal RNA (468 nucleotides) under uncultured bacterium. Its description in RNAcentral is "partial 16S ribosomal RNA". It matches the Rfam family "Bacterial small subunit ribosomal RNA", at positions 28 to 507 of the family's 1533-position model. The record is from RNAcentral.
GAUGAACGCUGGCGGCGUGCUUAACACAUGCAAGUCGAACGGUGAAGGCGGAGCUUGCUCUGCUGGAUCAGUGGCGAACGGGUGAGUAACACGUGAGCAAUCUGCCCCUGACUCUGGGAUAAGCGCUGGAAACGGCGUCUAAUACUGGAUACGAGCUGCGAAGGCAUCUUCAGCAGCUGGAAAGAAUUUCGGUCAGGGAUGAGCUCGCGGCCUAUCAGCUUGUUGGUGAGGUAAUGGCUCACCAAGGCGUCGACGGGUAGCCGGCCUGAGAGGGUGACCGGCCACACUGGGACUGAGACACCGCCCAAACUCCGACGGGAGGCAGCAGUGGGGAAUAUUGCACAAUGGGAGACAGCCUGAUGCAGCAACGCCGCGUGAGGGACGACGGCCUUCGGGUUGUAACCCUCUUUUAGCAGGGAAGAAGCGAAAGUGACGGUACCUGCAGAAAAAGCGCCGGCUAACUACGUG